RNAcentral lists this unclassified non-coding RNA (86 nucleotides) under Mucilaginibacter gossypiicola. RNAcentral describes it as "Flavo-1 RNA". Lineage: Bacteria; Pseudomonadati; Bacteroidota; Sphingobacteriia; Sphingobacteriales; Sphingobacteriaceae. The record is from RNAcentral.
UAGGGAUAGGAGCGGAAAGCCCGGAGCGUGCAUGUGCCACUGUGCGCCAGGAAAGCGAGGACUUGCAGCGGAUAGCCCGGCCCGUU